GGAGCCCGCUCCCGCUGUUACCGUAAGUCUCAGAGGAGCGGGGCAUAACGAGAAGGGUAGCUAAGAGCAGGAAGGCCCGGAGGGCGCCGCGACGUGGAAGGACUGUGCGUUCCCGGCUGGCCGGGAGUGAGUACGGGUGCGCAGGCGCCUGCCGCAGUGUUUCGGAGGGUGAGGGUACCGGCUAUCAAGGGCUCAUUGUCGUGGAGGGAGAGCAGAAGGAAUGUCGGCCCAGAGGACAGAGUGUCACCGGCCCAGGACUGGAGUGCUCGCACCGGCUGGGCCCGGACCUGGAAUCUGUCCUUCCGCUCCUCCACUGGGAGUGCCAGCCCUGUUGCCUGGAGCUCGUAUACGGACCUCCUGGACCUAUAGAUGGCAGAGCAACAAGGUGGAAGAAGCCUGGGUCUCUGAUAUCAUGGAGCACCACACCAUAAGGACCAAAGGCCUACAAGAGAAUGAGAAAUGAAGGAGUGUUUGCCAAAUGAAAAAGAGAGAGACAGAGACAGAAACCUAUAAGAAAAUGUAAAUUUCCAAAGUUUUUCUGGGUAGUGAUAAAGGGGUGUGUGUGUGUGCGUGAGAGAGAGAGAUUUUCCACUGAGAAUUAUACAACAUCUUCAUAGAACAUCAGAUUACACUAAACCUUUUUCCAGGCAGGCAGCUGAACCAAAGAAAAAGUUGCUAGAGCACAAACAGCAACAUAGUUAUUUUUAGGCGUACAAUAUGCCACUUUUAAAAAAAACCAUUUUACCAGCCCAGUGAUAUCACCUAAGUGAGACAUUGGAGCAAGAUUAUCAAGAGGGCAAAUGAGAAGUUUCUCUGGAGAUAGAAUGAAAAGGAAGAAGCCUUUCUCAGACCGAUUGAGAAAAACAGUCAACUCUCCUAUUCCUAUUUCUGUUCUCAAUUUGCUGUGAGACUUUAAGUGAGCUAUUAAACAUCUUGGACCUUAGUAAAAUGGGGUGGUAAUUUCAUAUACAGUGGGUAUUGGUAAGCUUUCUUGAUUUCAGAUCCAAAUUGAGCCUCUCUCACAAAAAAGUGUGGCUUUUGUAAGCUGUUCACCUACUGCUGGGGAGCUAAG
Molecule: long non-coding RNA, 1072 nt
Filed under: Equus asinus (donkey)
Lineage: Eukaryota; Metazoa; Chordata; Mammalia; Perissodactyla; Equidae
Description: lncRNA (ENSEASG00005025292.1)
Source: RNAcentral